GCAAGUGCUUUUGUGGCCACACCCGUGGUUUAAAGUGC
This 38-nucleotide non-coding RNA is filed under the name Tripos fusus. The record is from RNAcentral. Lineage: Eukaryota; Dinophyceae; Gonyaulacales; Ceratiaceae.